CCGGACCUUACUGCUAUCGGGGUGGGANNAGACNUGCGAGUCGAGCGUCUCUAGCUAUNUGAGACGCGGCAGACGGCUCAGUAACACGUGGCUAACCUACCCUCAGGACAAGGAUAAACCCGGGAAACUGGGGCUAAUACUUGAUAGGCGAAGAUGCCUGGAAUGGUUUUUCACCUAAAGGGCUUUAGAAACAUGCUUCUAAAGUCGCCUGAGGAUGGGGCCGCGUCCGAUCAGGUUGUUGGUGAGGUAACGGCUCACCAAGCCUAUAACCGGUACGGGCCGUGAGAGCGGUAGCCCGGAGAUGGGUACUGAGACAAGGACCCAGGCCCUACGGGGCGCAGCAGUCGCGAAAACUCCGCAAUGCACGAAAGUGUGACGGGGCUACCCCGAGUGCCAUCCGCUGAGGAUGGCUUUUCUUUGGUAUAACUAGCCAGGGGAAUAAGGAGAGGGCAAGACUGGUGUCAGCCGCCGCGGUAAUACCAGCUCUCCGAGUGGUAGGGAUGAUUAUUGGGCUUAAAGCGUCCGUAGCCGGCUUAGCAAGUCUCCUGUUAAACUCAGCGACCUAAUCGUUGAAUCGCGGGAGAUACUACUAGGCUAGGAGGCGGGAGAGGUCGACGGUACUUCUGGGGUAGGGGUGAAAUCCUAUAAUCCCGGGAGGACCACCAGUGGCGAAGGCUGUCGACUAGAACGCGCUCGACGGUGAGGGACGAAAGCUGGGGGAGCGAACCGGAUUAGAUACCCGGGUAGUCCCAGCCGUAAACGAUGCGGGCUAGGUGUUGGGAUGGCUACGUGCCAUUUCAGUGCCGCAGGGAAGCCAUUAAGCCCGCCGCCUGGGGAGUACGGCCGCAAGGCUGAAACUUAAAGGAAUUGGCGG
Molecule: ribosomal RNA, 874 nt
Filed under: uncultured archaeon
Lineage: Archaea
Description: bacterial SSU rRNA
Rfam family: Archaeal small subunit ribosomal RNA
Source: RNAcentral